This 34951-nucleotide long non-coding RNA is filed under the name Phaseolus vulgaris (common bean). RNAcentral's name for it is "long non-coding RNA (PVUL_LNC002615)". The record is from RNAcentral. Lineage: Eukaryota; Viridiplantae; Streptophyta; Magnoliopsida; Fabales; Fabaceae.
UUCAGUCCAAUAGUUUGAAUCUCUUCCAAUUGCCCAAGCAUUGACUAUGACCUUGCUUUUGGCUGGUAUGUUAUAGCCAUGUAUCUCACAUGUUUGACCACAUUCUCUUGGAAGCAAAAGAGGAAUUGGAGGGUGUAAUCUCAAGGUCUCUUUCACAACUAGUUUCAAAUAUUUGAGUUCAUUGAUGCAAUUUUCAUCAACCCUUCCUUUCAUGUUGAAUACCUCUCUAACCUCAGCUUGCGCAUGUUUCAUUACUCUUGAAUUCUUCAUUAUUUCAGCCAUUGCCCAAUCUAUGGUUGUUGCUGAUGUCUCACCUCCAGCAGCAAAAAUGUCCUUAAAAAUAGUUUAUCAAUCAAAAGGCUAAAAGUAAGGAAAUAAACAGACUGCAUGCUUCUAGAGUUUUUAGGCAAAUGUUUCACUACUUCCAAAAUCUCACCAGUGAAAAAUAAGAUAUAGAGGGGAAAAGUGAGGAAUUUAGAAUCAUUUUGAUUUCAUACUCUCUUUUUGGUUUUAAAAAUUGUUCUCCAAAGAUUCAUGCUAUACAAUAAUGAGUUUCUCCCCUAGAAUGUGUUAAGUUUUGAAAAUUUCUUCCAAAAAAAGUGUUUUAGAAACAUAAAAUAGAAACACCCAGGAGAUGUUUUCUGAUUCAGUUAUUCUGUUUUGGGAUCUUAGCUCAUCAGAGCGAGUCAUCGGCACUGGUAAUGUUUGGGUGAGGUAUGAACUUGGUGUGAGUGUCUAGUUUCUUCAUAUUUUAAAAACUAAAUCAGUUUAUGAAAAAUAGAAAUCAAACUCAUCCUUAUUAACUAAUUCCACUUUCAUAGCAAGUAUGAGAAAGAUUAUGAUCAUAAAAUGUAUUUGCAAGAGGUUAUGAUCCAUACCAGAAUUAUAGCCUUGAUGUUGUUCCUAGUUAAAGAAAAAUCCUGCUUGCUACCCUCCUCAUAUUGUAUGAGAACAUCCACAAGAUCUUCUGCUUCCCUUUCGUAAUCAUUGGCCUCUGACUUUGCCUCUUUAUGCUCAUUGAUGAUGUUUUCCAUUAUCUGAUCGGCUUGUUGAUGCAAGUUCUCAAGCUUGGGCCUCAUGCCAGUGACAUGUUGCAGCCAAGUAGCAGAAGGAAACAAAUCUCCAAUAUCAAAACCUCCUGCAGCUUUAAUCAAUUUUUUAAUCACUAAUAUGAAGUUUUCUUGGUCUUUGUAUUUCUUGCCAAAGGCAGACCUUGAAGCAAUUGAAUAAAUUGAUGAAAGUACAGCUUGAGUGAGAUUGAUGGGGGAUCCUUUCUUUGAAUCUAUCCAUUUGACAAGAUUGGAGAGCUCCUCUUCUCUAAUUGGCUGGUAUGAGUUUACACGUUUUAGGCUUAAAAGCUCCAAUGUGCAAAUUUUUCUUAGCUGCCUCCAAUAUUCUCCGUAAGGAGCGAAAGCUAUAUCUGUGGAAUUGUAACUCAUUAUAUCCACAGCUAGGACUUUAGGCCUUGUGGCAAAGUUAAUAUCAUGGGUUUUCAUCACUUCCUUAGCACACUCAGGGGAUGAAAUGACAAUAGUAGAAAUCUCUCCAAGUUGAAGAUGCAUCAAAGGUCCAUAUUUUAAGGCCAAAUCUCUUAAUUUUAUAUGGGGUUGAGAGAAUAGCAGAUUGUAUAUAUUUCCUAUAAUAGGUAGCUUUGUAGGCCCAUGAGGUAUUUUAGAAGUUGUUUCAUCUGUUUUCCUGGGUUUCUUUCCAAUUUUCUGUACUACAAGGGUUAAGAAGAUAAAGAAGAUAAGAGCUGGAAAGUAGAGCACUAGUUGAGCCAUGGAAAAGAUGCAGAUUUCUAAUGUCAGUCAGCUGCUACUAGUGCUUGUUUAUAUACACAUUACUUAGCAUUCUUAACUACGUUUGUUGGUACCUUGUCAUCAUCUUGGUUUCUCCUAUAUAGGGACUUUUGUGUAUGAUUGAUUUCUUCUCUAUGAAAGUGCCUGCUAUUUUAAAUUUUACAAGGAAAGCAUUUAACCUUAGUUUGGUACAAUUGGAGUUGGUUUCGUUUAGUUCAAUGAAGUCAUUAUCUUUGAACCCACGAGUCCUUUUCAUGAAUAAUUAGACUAACAGACUAUAUUUAUGGCAUGAGAUAAUCUCUGGUUCAAAACAUCAGGUAAUUUUUUUCUUUGCUCCAAAAUUUUUAAUAGUUGAAGUUAUGUGAUUUUUACAAUACAAGAGUGAAAGAAUGAGAUUUUUUCUGACAUAGAACUAUUUGUGCUUUUUAUUUCUCAAAAUUAAGGCCAUGUCAUUUAAUUUUCUAUGGGUUGAGAGAAUAGCAAAUGAGCUGAGACUCUAGGGUAGACGGAUUGAAGGAAGAAGUGGUUUUAUAGGGUGGCCCUAGCCUUGUACGAACACUAAAUAUGUUUAUAAUUUUAGAUGAACAAGAAGUGAGAAAACAAAAAGGCAUGAAUAUGAAAAGUAUAAAGUAUUAUGACAUAUCUAAAUCUGACACAUUAAAAAAUAUCAUUAAAUAAAAAAUGUUACUAACAUCAUUUGGUAACACUUUAUCAAAUGUUAGGUUACUAAGGACUUUUAGCAAUAUUUUCACAUAUCAAUAAAAAUAUUAGUAAAUACUUUUAGUAAAAUUUAUUUAACAGUAAGAUAACACUUUUAAAAUGUUGCUAAAAAUUUUUAGUAAUAUUUUUAAUAAAAAUGUAACAUUAUAAAAAUGUAACAUUAUAAAAAUGUUAUUAAGAAUCUUUAGUAAUUUUUUUUUUCAAUAAAGAGACAUUUUAAAAUUGUUAUUAAAAAUCUUCAGUAAUAUUUUUCUAAUAAAGUAAGAUUAUAAAAAUGUUGCAUAUAAAUAUUUUGUAACGUUUACUAAAUUGUUUAAAUAGAAAGACAACAUUUUUAAAUUUUAUUCAUUUUUUAGUAACAUUCUGUUACUAAAUUGUACAAUUUACUUAAAAGAUAUCACUAGUAUAUUUGUAUAGGAAUAACUAACUCUAUAAGGGGUUUAAUGAAGUUUGAACUCAAAUCGUGAAGAAAGCCAAAACACAAUGUCUAACUGGCUAAGAGAGAAUAAAGCAAAACAUAUUUUAUACACCUUGAGCUAUGUCCAGUUCUUGUAUAUAUGAACAAACUAUUUAAGUGAUUCCAUUAAUCACAAGGAUUACUAAACAAGUAAACAAACAUCUCCAAAUUAUAUCAAGUACAUAAACUUCUUCAACUUAUACCAGACUUAAUCUCCUCGAGACUAAGACCUCUCAAGAUUCAAGAAAAACAUUCUCAAAAAGACUACAAGGUAAGCUUAUAGGGUAUACGAUAAUUAUUUUAUCUCAAGUGUACCGAGUCAAAAGUAAUAAUUUAUCCUUAAAAAAUAAUAUCGAACUCACAAAGAACAGCUAAAUUUUCAAGUAUAAUAUUCUCUAAAUAUAAGACAAUAUGUAAAAGUUUGUUAAAAGAUUUAGUGUAUGAUGAAUUUGAAGUUGAAUUAUAACUAUUUGGCCGAUUCUCCCUGCCCCACAAUCAAUUCUUAUUGGCACCCAAUUGACCGUGUGAAAUGUCCAUAACACCCUUAAUGAUCCAUGCGAAAUGACCAAAACACCUUGAAAUUAGGUUUACACUUAAGUGCAUCCAACCCAACAGCUAAGCACAUUCAUUGUUCUAGACAUUGAGGCACACACACGAAGCACUCUUGCGGAACUCUUACACACACACGAAGCAUGAUAGUGCAUUUUGCAAAUUCACGUCCAUAUCCAGAAGCAACCACUUCAGUUCUAAAUCUAGAUAUCCAUAAGGUUUAUCCAGAAGUUACAAUCAUAUUCUUGAACCACUUGUUCACGAUUUCUUGUAAUUUAUCAUAUCCACACAUGUAUGUUGGACCACCACUGUGACUGCAACACUCAAGUACUCUUGGAAUAAUUAAUAUCUUUUUCGCACGAGCCUAAAUAUUAAGUUAUUGAAAACAUUAUGUGUAUCCAAAAUAUCAUCUUAAAACCAAAUGAAAUCAUUAAUAUAAUUCAUGCAAACUCGUGUGGAAAACAUUAUCUGUAUAAACUAGUCUACAUAUAAUACUUGUCCAUCCAGCAAAGAAUAUUAAAUAAGAAUCAAGGAAAAAGUUUAGCUAGAAACCUCAAUAACUACCUCUUACGGAUGUGGUGUAGAAAGCAUGAUGAUGUCUUUCGGAUAAAAAUGUUCGUAGUCAAAGAGUGCUAGUUUUGGAUGUCUUCUGGAUGUCAAUAUUUAUAGGCAAAAUUGACACUUCUGGAUACCAAUAUCCGUAGGUAAAAUUGACACUUUCGGAUGUCAAUAUUCGUCGGCAAAACUAUCACUUUCGGAUGCCAAUAUUCAUAGAUAAAUAUAUCACUUCUAGAUAUUGGCAUCCGUAAAAAAAUGUGUGAAAAAGGGUAGAAUGGAAUUUUAAAACUUUCGUUGGUGCCAAUCAAAAUUGAUUUAGUAUAGAAAGAAUUUCCUAACUAUUUUAUCAAUUAAAAUUCAUAAGUACUUAUAUUUUUAUAUAAAAUAUUACUGAAUUAUGACAUUUAUCAGUAUAAUUAACUGAUCGAAGAAUUUACAAUGAUUAAGCACGUAAUCCGAUUUGACUAUACACUCUAAAAGAAGAAAUAUUAACUUCGUGCAUAACUUUUUCUAUACAAAAGAUAUUCUAAUAGUUAUUGUUUCUUCUUCUGCCUAUAGUCCUUCAUAUAACUUUCAAAAAGAUGAACCUUGAAGCAUGUACACUAAGACCUGAAGAUUGCACAAAUUUUGCUAUGCAACUUCAUUAUUUUUUGUAUUAGACCUUAAAAAAAGGAGACUUCUGAUAUUAAAGAAUUUUGCACGCGUCUUAAGCAUUUAUUCUUUCAGAAAUAAUUCACAUAUACUCUAAUAAACAGUAAGCAAUAUAAAUUAAUUUGAAUAACACAGAAUAAAUAUUUUGAAAAAACUUCUAUAUCAGAAAACUUCUAGUAAUUUCAUUUCAAAAACUUUCCAUCUUUGUAUAAAAUCAAAAUGUUGAUGCAUACAAAACAUACAAGACAUAAUCAUGAAUACGAAGAACUUCUAUUUUUGAAAACCUUCUGUUAACAUUUUUAUUUCAAAAACUUUCCCGAAUUGAUUUAAUCAAAUGAUGAAGUUAUUCUUUGUUUAAAGAGAUUAAUUAAAGUCAGUACAACUUUCCCAAUUGAUUAAUAAUUAUUAGAAAACACUUCCAGAACAAAAUAUUUGAGUUUAGAAAGAUCUUGAUAACUUGAAUCGUCUAUGGUAAAAACAAAAAGAUGACCGUUUAACGUGAAAGCGAAUAUAAGAGUGUCCACCAACUGCGUUUGGCAGUUGUGGUGGGGUAAUAGAAACAAGAGUGGUCCUUCCAAUAAUAAGAUCAGUAUUACACAAGCCGUUAGGUCCACACAUUCCAUGAAGGAAGGACGGUGUUGGUUGGGGAAUUGAAGCUUUGCCAAAUAAUAGUGUCGUUGGAAGUGAAAAAUAAUAUAAAAACUUAAAUCAUCCACUAAACGCAAAAUGACGACUUUUAUCUCAAGUUAUUCAAAGAUUAAAACUGCUACGAUAGCAUCAGAGUGCACAGUCUCAGCAUCACCAAGGGUUUCAAUUUCUCAGUCUGAAAUUCAUGGGACAGAUUCAUGGGACAGACCAAGAUAAGGAAAAGGAACCGAUCACACAUCAUGCUUAUAAGAAAAUGAUAAGAAGAGAGGUUUCUUAUUAUCUGAUGUAUAUGAAAUAUAUAGGGAGUUUUUCUCUCUAACUUACAAGUAGGAUACUAAUCAUGAAAUUCUAUUAUUAUUAAAUUAGUUGCAUAUAAUUUGAUAAUAAUUAUUAUUUCCUUAAUACUCCCCUCAAGUUGGUAGGUGAAGAUCAUGAACCCCAACUUGUGUCGUACGUCAAAAAUCGUUCUUUGCCUAGUGCCUUUGUAAAAAUAUCAGCGAGUUAAUACUGUGUCGAUACAUAUAAAGGACUGAUUAUCCCAGCUUGUAAUUUUUCUCGCACAAUGUGACAGUCUAUCUCAAUGUGCUUUGUGCGUUCAUGAAAUACUGGGUUUUGCUACUAUAUGUAAUGCCACUUGAUUGUCACAGACAAGUUGAGCUGGCAAGUUACAUGACACCUUUAAAUCCUGCAACAGAUAUCGCAACCAAAUUAUCUCCAAACAAGUAUUGGUCAUCGCGCGGUAUACGUUUGUCUAUUUUUUUUUACUUCCAUGAGAUAAUAAAAGAACCAAGAAAAAUGCAAUAUCCAGGUACUGAUCUUCGAGUUCUGUUACAACCUCCCCAGUCUGAGUCGCAAUAAUGUCAGAUUGUUUUCGGAUGGCAAUAACAAUUCUUGUCUUGGUGAUCCUUUGAUGUCCUUUAGGACUUGAAUUGCAGCAUUUCCGUGGAUCUGUAUAUAUUGACUUAGGGUCUGAACCGAAAAUGUUAUGUCAGGUUGAGUAACCGUGAGGUAAGGUAUAUUAGUCGUUCCAUGAGUUUUAAGUAGUGUUCCAUUGGAAAUUUGUCUGGACGAGCACCUGUGAGUCGUAUCCUGCAAAAUAUCAAGCGCAUAUUUUCUUUGGAACAUGUAAAUACCAACUUUGGAACGGGAAAAUUCAAUCCCUAAAAAAUAUUUUAGGUCUCCAAGAUCUUUAAUGCGAAAUUGUUAUAAUAGACAAUAUUUAACACGCUGAAUUUCUGUCAAAUCAUUUCCUAUCAAAAGAAUAUCAUCCACAUAAAUCAAAAGGGCAGUAAAUGAUGAGUUAUUAUGUCUUCUGAAUAGAGACUAAUUUGUGUUAGACUGUUGAAAUCCUACAGAUUUAAUCACAUGAGAAAAUGUUGAAAACCAUGUUCGAGAUGCUUGUUUGAGACCAUAAAGGGAUUUCUUGAGUCGACAUACAAUGUUCUCCCCUGUCGAUGAUGACCGGGUGGCAAGUCCAUGUAAAUAAUUUCAUGCAAUGUGCCAUGUAAGAAGGUAUUUUGCACAUCUAGCUGAUGAGUAAACCAAUUUCUGGCUGCUGCAAUGGUGAGGAGACACCUCAAAGUUGUUAAUUUUGCUGUUGGUGAAAAAGUUUCAGAAUAGUCGACACCUUCAAUCUGAGUGUACCUCUUUGCGACAAGGCGCGCCUUAUAUCUGUCGACGCUACCAUCUGAGUUGUACUUUAUUUUAUAGACCCAUUUGCAUCCGAUGGGUUUCUGCCCAGCGGGUAACGGUGUCAAGGUCCACGUUUGAUUUAGCUGCAAGGCGGAAAGCUCUUCAUCCAUUGCUUUUUGCCAAUUUGGAUUAAGGAUAGCUUGACCAUAAGUGUGAGGUUCUUUGGUGGCUGUGAUGUUAGCAAGAUAUGCACUAUGUGUAGAAGAAAAUCGUGAAUUAGAAAGAAAAUGAUGCAUAGGAUGCCUGGUUCCAUUCGACCGGUCUUGGGUAGUGAUCGAAUGAUUGGCUUGGGAUCCCGUUACGUAGUCUUGAAGCCAGGAAGGUGGGGUGGAUGUGCGACUGGAUCGUCGAACAGGAAGGUCGGUUGGAGAAGGUUUGGUAGUGAGUGCUAGAUUUCUUGGCAUGGGAGAAGAAGGUUGGUCUACUAGAGGUUCAAUGUAUUAUGACGAGUAGAAGAAGAAGGUUGGUUUGAUGGAGGUUCAGGUGCAUUGUGAUGAGUAAGAAAAGAAGGUUGAUCGAGUGAAUGUAGGACAGGAGUGGGUAAGUCAAUGUCAAUAGUGGGCAAAAUACCUUGUAAUGGAGGUGAGGAUUGUGUCUGUGACUGUUGGCAGAAUGAGAAAACACUUUCACAGAAGAUGACAUCCCGACUUGUAAAAAAAGUGUUUGCAUCUAUAUCAAAUAAUUUGUAUGUUUUAGGUGAGAAAGUGAAGGUGGUUGAUUAUAUAGUAGCUCAAAAGGUGAUUUGUUUUUUAGUAAAGGUGAUGGCAAGCAAUUAAUGAUAUAUGUGGCGGUUAAAACGCAUUCUCCCCAAAAUUCUAAUGGUAAAUUGGACUGAAAUAGGAGGGCUCGUGUUGUGUUUAAAACGUGUCUAUAUUUGCGUUCUACUACUCCAUUUUGUUGAGGAGUGUAGAUGCAAGUGCGUUGACAUUCAAUACCUUUUUUGAGAAAAAAAUCAUACAUUGAAAUAAAUUUAAGUCCGUUGUCAACGUGGAUGGUUUUAAUGUCUGAAAUUGAUUUUGUGCAAAUGUAAUGAAUGACUCUAAGAAAUGUUGGGUUUCAGAUUUGUGAUUCAUAAGAAAUAGCCAAGUACAUCUAGUAUAGUCAUCGACUAUAAUGAGAAAAAAACGUUUUCCAAAAUGAGUUGGGGUUUUAUGAGGACCCCAAAUGUCACAAUGCAAUAGAUUAAAUGGAGAAUGAGAUCUUAUUGUGCUUAAAGGAAAGUGUAGCCUUGUCUGUUUAGCUUUGGGACAAAUACUACAAUUAUUAUGAAUGCGAAUGAGAUUUUUACUGAUAGGGAUAGGUAGUAAGGAAGAUACAAGUUGUAGACACGUCGGAGAAGGAUGUAUGAGGCGCUUGUGCCAUAAAUUAGGGUCGGUCGAUAUUUGAGAUGCGUGGGCUUGGUUUGGAAGAGGGGACAUGUAGUAUAAGCCUGCGUGUUGUUUACCCGAGCCAAUCAUCCUCCCCGUAGCCAAGUCCUGUAAAUUAGUGAACUAUAGGAGUAAAAACGACACAACAAUUUAGUGAACUGGUUAUCUUACUAAUGGACAUGAGAUUUAAAUUAAAACAAGGAACACAAAGAACAUCUUUGAAAGUGAUUUUGUCAUUGAAUUUAAUUGUGCCUGUAGAUGAGAUGGGCGCAGUUGAGCCUGUGGGCAGAUUAACAUUUGAAAUAAAUGAUGAUGAAGUGUGUGUGAAAAAUUGUGACUCAGAUGCAAUGUGAUUGGUUGCUCCGCUAUCCAAAAUCCAUGGUUUCGUAAAAGUAGAAUUAGAAUAGGAGUUAUGGGCAAGCAGACCUGCAGAGCUAACAAACGUGUCACUUUUACCGUUAUUGUUGAGCGAGUAAAUAGCUUUUGCCAAUUGCUGAAUUUGCUCGGCACUGAAGCCUUGUACGAGGUUUCUAUCGGACUCGUUACUGAUGCUUUUUUGCCAUACAUGAUUUUUUAUUUAGGGGAUAAAAAUGGACAGGCUGUCAGGGCACCAAGAUCGGUGCUCUGAUACCAAUAAGAAAAUGAUAAAAAAUGGUAAGAAGAAGAGAUGUUUCUUAUUGUCUUAUGUGUAUGGUUACAUCACUUCAUGUAUAUGAAAUAUAUAUAAGGAGUUUCUCUCUCCAAAUUACAAUCUAAUUAGGUAGGGAUACUAAUCAUGAGAUUCUAUCAUUAUUAAAUUAAUUGCAUAUAAUUGAAUACAAUAUCGUACAAUAUUACAUAUAAUUUGAUAAUUAUUAUUUCCUUAAUAAUGCUUUCUUCUAACUGUGAUUCCAAACUCUUCACUCGUGUUCAAUUCUUCACUUAUCAUUCCACUUGGAAGCUUCCAAUCAAAGUGAUAUAACAACAUUGCAAGGGUCACUUCGACAACUCUGGAUGCAUAUAUGCUUCCAGGGCAUAUCCUUCUUCCAGCUCCAAAAGGAAUGUACUCAAAAUUAUUCCCUUUAUAGUCAAUAGUGCUGUCAAUGAAUCUCUCGGGAUAAAAUCUCUCUGGUUCAGUCCAAUACUUUGAAUUUCUUCCAAUUGCUCAAGCAUUGACUAUGACCUUGCUUUUGGCUGGUAUGUUAUAACCAUGUAUCUCACAUGUUUUACCAUAUUCUCUUGGAAGCAAAAAAGGGAGUGGAGGGUGUAAUCUCAAUGUCUCUUUCACAACUAGUUUCAAAUAUUUGAGUUCGUUGAUGCAAUUUUCAUUAACCCUUCCUUUCAAGGUUAUCAGACUCGUGAGAGUCCAGUAAACUCGCAGACUCGUAAGAGUCUACUUCACAUAAAAAAUUUAACAAAAAAAAUAAUUCAUGAUACCAAUUUCAUAAUAUUGAAAUAAACAAGUUCAUACACCAACAAAAUAAGUAAAACAACACAAAUGUUAUGAAGUUUAAAAGUCUCAUUCAUCUAAUCCUCUAAGGAAAUCCUCUCUAAGAUCUUCAUGAUCAUCUCAUCAUCAUAUUCAUCACCAUCUUCAUCAUCAUCUUCAUCACCAUCAACAUCAUCAUCAAAAACUAUAUUAUCAAAAUCAGUUGCAUCUAGAAUUGAAUCAUUUAAACUUGUUCCUCCAACUAAGUCAACAUUCACACCAUCAUCUUCAACUUGAGUUUGCUCAACCUCAACAACAUUAUCUCCUUCUUCAGUUAUACAUUCAUUAUCGAACUUAAUGUCUUCAAAUAAUUGAUCUUAUAAUUUGUUUGUUUAUCAACUUCGAGUUAUACAUUAAGUCAUUCAUUUUCUUCUGAUGCAAACAAUUUCUUCUUUUUGUAUGAACCUAUAAUUAAAUAUGAAAUUUUUGUCAAUAUAUAAAUGAAAUCAAGAAAAACCUUAAAUAACUUCAAGUACUCGAAUUACCAUUUCAAAUGAGUUCCAAUUACGCUCACACUCUGAAGAACUACAAGUUAAACUCAAAACUCGAAUAGCAAACAUCUUUAGUUAUGGAGUUCUAUCCCCAAAUAUCUCCCACCAUUCUUCAGGGAACAUAACUUUCUUACACACCUUUGCAUUUUCCGAAGAAAAUGUUCCUCUUGAAUAGUGAAAAACAGUAAGUUGCAAAUUUAUUUUUGUUCUUUCUGAAACGUCAUUAACCAAUCUUCUCAUGCAUAUGUACAACCCUUCCUUCACCUCAGCAUCAUCAUUUCUAGAGUUUGGUUCAUAGUGUAAUUGGGGGUUUAGGUAAUAGGCAAUUGCAUGCAAAGGCCAAAGGCCUAUGAAGCUGAUUUUUCCACCUCUAAUCAAUGAUUUUCCAAACAUGUUCAUAACUACGUACCAAUUAUGUUAUAUUAGAAAUAUUUCACAAAUAAAUAAGUAUUUAAAUUUAAAAUGGAAGAAAGUUAGAAAUGGUACCUUUUUCUUGAUAUUAUUAAAGUUGUUUUUAAUCUUCUCUUUGGUGCAAUCCAUCUCCUCAUAUAAAAAUAAUCCAUCUCCUUAUAUAAAAAUGCACAGGAUUAAAUGAGCCUUCAAAUAAAUGCAUAGGAUUGAACAUUACACUGAACGAGACUUGAGGCGUAUUUAUGACCUUUUCAUUCUUUUUUAAGUAACAAAUGGCAUAUAUCAAUGCACCACCUUUUAACGAAUGAUCUAGAUUAAAAGGGCCUUCAAAUGAGAGCACAAGAUUGAACGUCACAUUGAACAAAACUCAAAUGCAUUAUGACAUUUUCACACUUAGUCAACCUCAUAGAGCGCAUAAAUCAAUACACCACCUUUUAAUGGAUGAUCCAAAUUAAAAUGCCUUGAAUGUUACAUUGAACAAGACCUCAUAUGCAUUUAUGACCUUUUCACACUUUUUAAUCCUCAUAAAGCAUAUAAAUUGAUGCGCCACCUUUUAACAGAUCGUCUGGAUUAAAUGAGCCUUUAGAUGAACGCACAAGAUUGAACUUAAAAUAUUCAACUUAUAAAGUCAGACCAUGUACUUCGACAUUCUUUUAUAUAUAGGUUUAAUGUUCAUGUUACACACUAUUUACUUCAUAAUCAAUACUUACAAGCGAACCUAAAUUUCACACUUCAACUAUAUUGUUUGCAAGUUCCUUUAACCAGCGUAAUAUGUUGUUAUGGAAGCAAAAGAUCAACCUACAUCAGUUCCAUGGUAACUUAAUCUAUGUGUCAUUGACUUAAUUAUUAAAUACUUUGACAUUUAAAGUUUGGCUAAUUUCUUUUGUGAAAUUAAGAUUUAAAAAGAAGCAUUGUGUUGUCUUAUUGUCAUUGUGUCUGAGUCACACCCUUUAGUAGUUCCUAAACUAGAUCGCAAAGUUGAUGCAUCUAAAUGUUGAUUAUGAUUUGGUGACAACUCUAGUAUUGGAGGUGGAAACUAGAAACAUAUAAAUUUUAUUUCCCAACUAGAGAAUGCACAAAAUCCUAUAAGAUGUAGGACUUCAGUUGGGAGUGAUUGAAUGAAGCCCUAAUUAUUACACCAACCUAUUUGAUUGGGAAGAUAUGUGUGCUACAUUUUUUGGCAUAACACAAAGUGGAGUCUUUAGUUAGGUCAAUGGUGAAGUUGAAGUGGUUAAGAGAGAACAUGUUCCCACUUCAAGAACAACCAUCUGAAGAGGAACUUAAUGCCCAUUAAAGGACAUAUAUAUUAGGAUUAAUUGGUAGGGUGUCAAUGUCUGACAAAAUAGGUAACAAAGUGCCCAUGUACUUAAUAUUUUUAAUCAAUCUUCGAAAAACUAACGAUGUAGUUGAGGAUUUACUUGUUUAGUUAUUUUGUAUAGGGAAAUGUGUAAAAGCAUUAAUAUGCGUGCAAAGACAUAAGUCGUGGUUGUGCAUCCCUUUUGCAGUCAUGGGCGCAACAUCACAUGCCCUUUAUGGCACCAAUUUCCAAAUGUGAUUUAAUGUACUUGUUGGUUCGCAAGUGGAGUGACAGUAGUUCUGAAUUUCCAAAAUGUCCCAUGCAACAACUUACUACAAAGCUAGAAUAGGUAAUGUUAAAAGCAACAACUAAAUGUUCCUAUUCUUGCUGCCCUUAUUUAUAAUAUUUUGCUUUCCUGAUACACACGAAUGUACUUUAAUGACUUUUUUUAAGUUUAUAUGGGCUCCAUAUGAUGGGUUAGAGGCAUCAACACCAACUGAAGCCUUUAAGGAUCAACACUUGUGGACAUCAUGCACAAUGUUAAUUUAUUUUGCAGUUGCGGAGUGGCACUAGUCCGACAAGGUGAAGUUACAUUUUCGUCUAUCACAAGAAGUAAUAGAGCCUUCCAACAAGCUUGAUCACCAACACAAAAUUGACAUGAGAGAAAGUCAAGAUGAGAAUUGGGUGACCAAACAUGCCUAUUGGGUUGAUUUCUGAACAACAAACAUCAACUUAGAUUGACAGAUAUUCCAAUGCUUGGUCCUCUCCACCACACACAUGAGUACAUGGGAUGGUACAUAGCCAAUUCAUAUAUCUUCUUUUGGUGCCACAAAUGUUGCAGAAUUAGAGGCUCAAUCAUCAAAUAAAGAGUUCACAGUGACCAUUUCACCAUAAUUGUUCCUCCUCGCAGAGGAUCCACAUUAAUAAUUCAGCAGUUUUUAGCAGUUUGGGACACCCGACAAGAGCCUACCAUGGAUGAAAGAAGAUAUUCAUUUUUGGCAUUCUUUGAACAUGACAUGCAAAAAUAUGUUUAGAACAUAUGUGACAACACCAUUAUUUGCACAAAUCUUCAUGUAAUCCACUUACUCUGCACAACAACAUUAUGAACUAGGGUCAUCUUCAGCUUCAUAUUGGGGGUUUGCAAAAAUGGUCCAUGACUAACCCCACUCCAAGAACACACAAUACCACCCGAACAACCUAAAUGAAAAAAUCAACACAUAAUAAACAUUGACCUCAUUGUGAUAUUUAUCAUCCGUGACGAAAAUUGAAAAUAUUGUAUUUAAUGAACGAUAAUAUGUUAUAUAUGUUUCAUAUUUGUGUCAUAAUUUUAAUAAUAUUUUUUUAAAAAAAUAAUGAAAGAAAAAAUUAAAUGUAGUACCUAAAAAUUAAAUAUGUAUCCUAAAUAAUUGGAAAAAGAUUAAAUUUCCUUACCCAUCACACAAUUAUAAAAAGAUUUCAUGAAUAAAUAAAAUAUUUAUUAAAGUUGAUUGUUUAAAUAACAAUACUCACUCUCAUUAUUAAAUAUUCUUAAUAUUUAUUUAUUAAUUUGUCUAUUUAACUUGUAUAAGUAAAAAAAAUAAGUUUCUUAAGUUUUUCUAAAAUUCUUUAUUAUUAAAAAAAGACUUUAAUAUAUAUUUCUUACAAAUAAUAUUAUAUUUUGGAACUAAUACAAAUAUUUUCAUAAUUAAAAAUAUAUUUAAGAAACUUUUAUAAAAGAAUCGUGCCCUUUGUAAUUAAAACUAUACAAGUUGUCUGUAAGUCGUUUCAAACUCCUUCUAUCACUUUUAUAAUUUAAAUUUAACGACUUACGAAAUUUGAUGAUUUACAAAAUUUACAAAAAAAUUAUUUAAUUUAAAUGCAUCCAUAAUAUAAAUCUUUUUUACUCUGACAGUAGGUUUUCUCUUCAUCCUAGUCUUUUCUUUCUACAGUACAGUGCAAAGGAAGUUUUGUUCAUUCAAGCAUUUAAGAAGGGUUAUAAACCUUUUCUUGUUUCUAUCGUUUCAAAUUUUUCAUUUCAGAUUCUCAAUAUCUUUAGUUCAUCAACAAAAGGGUCUUGAUUUGAGGGAGUGUUUUACUUCAAUUUUUUCUCUGGUCUGCUUCUUUCUUUUCUUCGUUUUCAUGGGGUGGUUUCUUUCUUUCUUGUUUUCCCUAAAGUUUUGCUUUUUCUUCAUUUAGUUUAUGAGUUUUGCAUUCUUGUUUUACUGUUUUGUGCUUUGCAUGUUUAUGUGGAGGGCAAGUUUGUUCUUUCAAGUGUUCUAUUGAAGUUUUUGUUUAUGUGACUUGUUGAGGUACCAUUGAUAGAUAUCUGUAACAUAAAGUCUCCUUUUGAAAGUCCUAUUGGAAAAGACAUGGAGAUUGCUCCGUAGCACUUUGCCCCAUUUUUCUUUAGUUUUGUACCUUUGGACCCUGUGGUACCUUGGUUUAUGAAGGUCAAGGAGGAAAUCCUAAUGUUAGGAGAAAUAUUUAACUUCGUGAUAAACAAAUUGGAACGAGGAAAUUUGGUGCUGAAAAAUAGCAUGCAAGCUAUAAGUCCCAUGUGGGUUAUAUUGAAAGUGAUGGAAAGUUUGAUGGUGCAUUCAGUUACAAUAGGAGCAGUUCUCAUUACUCAUAUGUUUAUGAUGGUUUGUAUUUGGUGGAUACAAUGAAAAUAGAAAGAGUGAGAUAUGGAAAGCUUGUGUUCUUGGAUUUCAUGAUUUCAUAGGGUGGUUUCUUUUCUUGCUUUUCUUGGUUUUCAUGAUUUCAUGGGGUGGUUUCUUUGUUUCUUGUUUUCCCUAAAGUUUCACUUUUUCUUCAUUUAGCUUAGGAGUUUUGCAUUUUUUUUUUACUGUUUUGUGCUUUGCAUGUUUCUGUGGAGGGAAAGUUUGUUCUUUUAAAUAUGUUUACUUUUUAUGAAUUAUUUUUCUACUGUUUUGUGGUCGUACUUCUCAAACACCUCUUUUUUCAACCUCCGCUGCUUGGCACUAUCUGUGUUUUCAAGGUAUGAAGUUCCUCAGCACUUCGACUGGCAAAGAAUUAAGGAAAGUGUUUGUGAAACAGUGGACAGUGGACGGUGAAUCGAGCAUUGGUGACAUUUAAGAACUUGUUUGAUAAGCUAAUGCAUCUAUACAAAUUGUAAGAACCUGGGAAUUCUAAAGUAAUGGCCGCAAACGCCGUCUUAACGGAUUGCUAUGAUAAUGGUAGGAAAUCCAGUGGUACCUUGGCUUAUGAAGGUCAAGGAAGAAAUCCUAAUGUUAGGAGAAAUAUUUCACUUCAGUGAUAAACAAAUUGGAACGAUGAAAUUUGGUGCUGAAAAAUAGGAUGCAAGCUAUAAGUCCCAUGUGGGUUAUAUUGAAAGUUAUGGAAAGUUUGAUUGUGCAUUCAGUUACAAUAGCAACAAUUCUCAUUACUCAUGUUUAUGAUAGUUUGUAUUUGGUGGAUACAAUGAAAAUAGAAAGAGGAAGAUAUGGAAAGCUUGUGUUCAUUUUUGUCCUAAAUAGAAUUUUAGGACAACUCCAAACUUGUUUUUCCCUUAAGGAUCAUGGUGAAAAUUCAAGAUUUACUUCUAGGAAGAAACGCAACAAACCGAAAGGUUGUGUUGUUGAAAAGGAGGUUGUCCGUGUUAAAGAUCUUUAAAAUCGUCAGAAGAGGUUUAGUAUUAGGGUGGUGACUUCAAGAGAUUGUGUCCAGCUACCCACAUCCUUUGAUUAUGUCGUAAAUAAAAUUCACUCAAUGAAGUUCAAGCAGGCAAUUCUUUGUGGCUGUGAAGAAUGGUAGCAAAGGUUGACGUACAAAAAUUGUCUUUCAUUCCCUUCUGGAAGCUUUCUAUGUGAGUAUAUUGGAGAAGUCAGUGGCUAUAGAUAAUGACUAUAUAUUUCACAUGGGUAUGUUCAUGAUGGAUACUUUCUUUUGUUGUGUUUGGACUUUAUUUAACAGUUUCAGUCUUCCUUUGUAGGUGUUGAAAAGGUCUUCACUAAUGCAAGUAAAUGUGUAUACGUAGGAAGAUUUACUAAUCAUAGCUGUUCUUCAAAUCUUCGUGUCAAAGAUGUUAUGUAUGAUCACAAUGACAAGAAUCUUCCUUACAAAUUGUUGUUUGCUGUAAAGGAUAUUUCGGCUGUUUGAGAGCUGACUUAUGAUUAUAAUUCCUUCAGUGGAAAAUUGAUCAAUAGUAGUAGUAAUAGUUGCUAUUGGGGAACACCGAAAGGCAAUGGACAAAUCUACAUUUAAAGGUGUAAAUUAUAAACUGUAUUUUUUUAUUACAUUGUUGAAUAGAGUACAUAUACUCACAUCAUUGUUUGAUAUGCAUUGGUUGUAGUAGUCCAUAAGCCUUUGAUGUAAAAGAUAUGUACAAUAUGCAUAGCUUAUGUGGCUUGGUCUUGGAUGAUGGAUGGUGGUUUGUAGGUUAUUGAUUCAAGACUAAUAACCUUGGUCUAUGAGUUAUGCCUAAUCAUGCGUAGGGGAAUUAUCAACCUCUCUGUAGCAAAACCAGUUUGUGGGUGUUGAUUGCAAAACCUCUCUUCAUCAACCUCUCUGGGCUGUGGUAGGUCUGACAGGAGAACUGUUGUCAAAGGAAACGAGGAAAAGGAGGUGCAGGCAAUGCAGGUGUCAUGGUGGCCAUGAGAAGGAAAACGAAGAAGGAAUACUCUCUUAGUUAUCAUCAUGGAGCCUGCAGCAACCAUAGAAGGGCUGUUGAAUGUCUAUCUCAUUGGUUGAGGUAGCAGGACUAACACCUCUUUCAAGGAGUGUAUAUGGCCACUGAAACAAGACCCAAGGAGGUCUCCUUGUGUGGAACUUGCGGUUUGUCUGGAGAGGUUUAUCUGGUUUCUGUCACGAAGAGCCAUGAUAGAGUCUCUGGAAGUAAAAUCCAUGGUAAUAGGAUGUCUGGAGCGGCUGUCAGUAGUGAUGGGUGUUAAAUCAGAUGGUCUUUAAACCUGAAGUGGCUGGUUUACCUUGUAUGGAGCCUCACUUCUCACACCUGAUGUGGUGCCAGUAUUGGUUUACUGGGUCUUGUUGGAGUUGCUGGCUGGUUUGUUGGUUUGCUGGUGCUGCCAGUACUGGUUUGCUGGUUUUGGUGGAGCUGCUGGCUGGUUUGUUGGGUUGCUGGUUUACCUUGUGUGUUGGAGAUGCUGGCUGGAUGCAAGUGAAGCUCACUGUUUCACAGUAAAGGGCCAUAAAAAGUAGGGGGUUUUAUUUAUGCUGAUGAAUUUGUAGCUUGGAUUUCAAAGCAUUAUUCAAGGGGUAUUAUUUCUUUGGUCCAAGUGGUGCGCUAGAUGCAGAGCAGUUUUCAAUCAAUUGAAGUGGACUGGUGGCCUACGCACGGAGCCCUGGAUGGUGCAUAUGUUGUGAUGCCAAAGCUGGGUUGGGAAAGGGUUGCUGGUUGGUGCUUCCAGCGUGGGGCAAUCAAGUGAAGCAAGCUCUUUCAUCCUAUGCUUGGAUGCUUUGUUGGUGUGGUGUGGACCUCAAACAUGAGCUGCUGGUUCUCUUUUUUAUGGUCUGUUGGGUCUGGUGGAUUUCUAGUGAGUGGGGGGUUUGUGGGUUAAUACUACAAUAGGUUUGCUUUGGUAGUAAAAUGUGGUCCUUUAAUUUAAUUAAUUCUUUGUCGAUAAAAAAAAAAAACUAAAACCAUUUUUGAAAAUAGAACUUAAACACAUCCUUUUUAACUAAUUCAUUCCACUUUCAUAUCAAGUAUGGUAAGGAUUAUGAUCAUAAAAUGUAUUUGCAAGAGGUUAUGAUCCAUACCAGAAUUAUAGCCUUGAUGUUUUUCCUUGUUAAAUAAAAAUCUUGCUUGCUAACAUCCUCAUAUUGUAUGAGAACAUCCACAAGAUCUUCUGCUUCCCUUUCGUAAUCUUUGGUCUUUGACUUUGCCUCUUUAUGUUCAUUAUGAUGUUUUCCAUUAUGUGAUCGGUUUGUUGAUGUAACCUCUCAAGCUUGGGCCUCAGGCCAGUGACACGUUGCAGCCAAGUAGCAGAAGGAAACAAAUCUCCAAUGUUAAAACCUCCUGCAACUUUUAUUGAUUUUUUAACCACUGAUAUAAAGUUUUCUUGGUCUUUAUAUUUCUUGCCAAAGGCAGACCUGGAAACAAUUGUAUAAAUAGAUGAAAGUAGAGCUUGAGUGAGAUUGAUGGGGGAUCCUUUCUCCGAAUCUAUCCAUUUGACAAGAUUGGAGAGCUCCUCUUCUUUAAUUGGCUGGUAUGAGUUGAUACGUUUUAAAGCUCCAAUAUGCAAAUUUUUUCUAAAAUUCUUUAUUAUUAAAAGAGAAUUGAAUAUAUAUUUCUCACAAAUAAUAUUAUAUUUUGGAACUAAUAUAAAUAUUUUCAUAAUCAUUACAAUAUAAUUUAAGAAACUUUUAUAAAAGAAUGGUAUCCUUUGUAAUUAAAAUUAUACAAGUUAUCGAUAUGUGUUUUAAAACUUCUUCUAUUGAUCACUUUUAUAAUUUAAAUUUAAUGACUUACAACUAGUGAAAUUUGAUGAUUUAAGAAAAUUUACAAAAAAAAUUAUUUAAUUUAAAUGCAUCCAUAAUAUAAAUCUUUUUUAUUCUUAACGUUGCAUUCUAACUCUUAUCAAUUUUAUAUUAAUAAUCAUCACAACUCUGACGUGAACAGUAGGUUUUCUCUUCAUCCUAGUCUUUUCUUUCUCCAGUACAGUGCUAAGGAAGUUUUGUUCUUUCAAGCAUUUAACAAGGGUAAUAAACCUUUUCUUGUUUCUAUUGUUUUAAAGUUUUCAUUUUCAUUUCCAAUUCUCAAUAUCUUUAGUUCAUCAACAAAUAACAAAAGGAUCUUGAUUGCAGGGAGUGUUUUACUUCAAUUUUUCCUCUGGUAUGCUUCUUUUCUUGGUUUUCAUGGGGUGGUUUCUUUCUUUCUUUCUCUCCCUAAAGUUUUGCUUUUUCUUUAUUUAGUUUGAGUUUUGCAUUCUUGUUUUACUGUUUUGUGCUUUGCAAAUUGCAUGUUUCUGUGGAGGGAAAGUUUGUUCUUUUAAAUAUGUUUACUUUGUAUGAAUUCUUUUUCUACUGUAACUGUACUGCUCAUACUUCUCUUGUUUUUCAAGUGUUCUCUUGAAGUUUUUGUUUAUGUGAUUUUUCAACUUCCGUUGCUUGGCACUAUCUGUCCUUCAACUUUUAUCACUCUAAAGCUUCCAAGGUAUGAAGUUUCGUCUUCAUGGCUUUUCAAUUUUCAUUUUGCAUCAUUAUUAUUUUAUACUCCAAUCUCCCAUUAUUCUAUUUUCUACCUUUGAACGCUUACAUCACUGAAAAAGCUUUCAGCAUUUGAAUUCUUGGUUGAAUGUUUUUUUUUAUAGUUUGGUUGUUGUUAUUUGUUCAUUCUAGAUGGUUUGUAAACUGUUGUUUGACUUGUUGUGGUACCACUGAUGGAUAUCUGUAAUACAAAGUCUCCUUUUGACAGUCCUUUAGGAACUUGUUUGACAAGCUAAUAAUACUUCAAUACAAAUUGUAAGAACCUGGGAAUUCUAAAGUAAUGGCCGCUAACACUGUCUUAACGGAUCGCUAUGAUAAUGGUAGGAAAUCCAUUGUUACCUUGGUUAUGAAGGUCAAGGAGGAAAUCCUAAUGUUAGGAGAAUUUUUUUUCUUCGUGAUAAACAAAUUGGAACGAGGAAAUUCGGUGCUGAAAAAUAGCAUGCAAGCCAUAAGUCCCAUGUGGGUUAUAUUGAACCUUAUGGAAAGUUUGAUGGUGCGUAGCAACAAUUCUCAUUACUCGUAUGUUUAUGAUAGUUUGUGUUUGGUGGAUACAAAGAAAAUAGAAAGAGGGAGAUAUGGAAAGCUUGUGUUCAAGUUUGCACUAAAUAGAAUUUUAGACAACUCCAAACUUGUUUUGCCGUUAAGGAUCAUGUAAAAAAUUCAAGGCAUCUUACAAGAUUUACUCCUAGGAAGAAACACAAACCGAAAGGUUGUGUUGUAAAAAAGGAGGUUGUUCGUGUUAAAGGUCUUUCAAAUGGUCGGAAGAGGUUUAGUAUUAAGGUGGUGACUUUAAGUGGUUGUGUCCAGCUACCCACAUCCUUUGAUUAUAUCGUAAAUAACAUUCACUCAUUGAAGUUCAAGCAGGCAAUUCUUUGUGGCUGUGAAGAAUGGUAGCAAAAUGUUGAAUGGUUGACGUAUAAAAAUUGUCUUUCAUUCCCUCUGGAAGCUUUCUAUGUGAGUAUAUUGGAGAAUGGAGAAGUCGGUGCUUAAAUGGAGGCUAGAUAAUGACUAUAUAUUUCGCAUGGGUAUGUUCAUGAUAGAUACUUUCUUUUGUUGUGUUUGACUUUAUUUAACAGUUUCAGUUUUCUUUUGUAAGUGUUGGAAAGGUCUUCACUAAUGCAAGUAAAUGUAGAAACGUAGGAACAUUUACUAAUCAUAGUUCUUCAAAUCUUCGUGUCAAAGAUGUUAUAUAUGAUCACAAUGACAAGAAUCUUCCUCACAAAAUGUUGCUUGGUGUAAAGGAUAAUCUUGCUGAGAGCUGACUUAUGAUUAUAAUUCCUUCAAUGGAGAAUUGAUCGAGAGUAGAAGAUAUAAUGGCAAUGGACAAAUCUACAUUUAAAAGUGCAAAUUUUAAACUUGUGUUUGUUUUAUUGCAUUGUUGAAUAUAAUUUAGAUAUGCAUUAUAGUACAUAUACUCACAUCAUUAUCAUUGUUUGAUAUGUAUAAGGUGGUUCUGAGUAUGUCAAGGAUGCAAGUAUAUCUAAUGAAGUGUCAAUUAUAAACAUACUAAGGAACAUAGAAAUAAACAUACAAAGGGAACUUAGAAAUAAGAAUUCUGGUUGAUGAUUUUACAUAUAAAGUUGUCAUUGACUCUUGUAUAAUGGUUAUGUCCAAUUAUCUUGACACUUACACAUCAUCUUGUAUGGUUGGUUGAUGAUUUUUGCUCUAAUGGCCGAAGUUUUUUCUAUUAUUCUUGCUCUUGAAAGAGCAAAAUGAAAGAUUGGGCUAGAAAAUUUUGUGCCUCGUAGAGUGAGUCUUGCUAUAUCUCACUUCUCUCUAAUAGAUUAUGUUUCGACUCCUUCUUAUGGUUUCCUUUCCAACAUACCCACCUCCUCCUGUAAGUGAGGUUUGGGGCCAGGCCGAGCCGAGCUACAUGAUGUGAGUUGAAUCAAGCAUAAACACUUUAGGAACACAAUAAGAAGGCUUAAGGACAAUUCAAUGGAGGACAUUGCCUUCCAAAUGAAGAGUCAAACUCAUAAUCAUGAGUGACAUAUCUUUAUACACAUAUAUAUGGCGGAAAUGGAAAGGAAAGCAAGAUCAAACACAUGAACACAAGUAGAAACACAAUGUAGAACAAUUAAAAACAGCAACUAACACAUGAUCUGAUUGAAAGGAGAAUUAAGUGUUGGAAAUAAAAGGAAACACAAAAGAAGCAAGAACCAUCGGUGGAAAAUGAAGAACAACACUAAAGGGACAAAAGCAAUCGAUUGGAAUUGCUAAAACAUGAGUCUAAAUGGAAAUGGAGAUGGAAGGAAGAAGGAACAUAAUUGGAUGAAGACUUGAAGGAGAUGGACACGCCACUUGGAUGGUGAAAGGUCCAAGAUGAGUGCUAAAUGCCGCCACUUGAAGCCCUCCAAAACUCACAAGAUAAGAAUUAGAGAAGGAGAUCAAAUCUCUCACAAUUCUCUCUCAUUUUGUGUAGAGUUUCCUUUCUUCUAUUUUUAUAUUCUGGAUUACAUGAGCAAUGCCUCUCUAUUUAUAGUAGAAGAGGGCUGAAAAAUGAAAAGACACAAUUGAAAUUCAAGAGAUAAUUGUUUUCCUACUUUCGCACCUGCUAAAAAUCCUAUCUACACCUACUCGUAUGUCACAUGGAAGGUGUAACUUGUUUUGUACAUUAGUACCCCUUAUUUAAUAUCUACACCUCCAUUUUAAAGUUAUACUAAAAAACUAUACAAAAGUAAUUACAAAAAAUCAUCAAAUGUUCAUCUCCCAAAGCUUUAGCCAUGUUUCUAGUAAUUCUUUGAGGCAAGAAAGAUGUUGAGCUCAUGGAUUGGGCUUUGGUCCCCUCUUGGGCUUGGGCCUCAUACGCCUCCUCUACUUGGUCUUCAUCACUACAUAUCCCGCAAACUCUUCAAUUGAAGGUAGGAUGAACCUUCUUAGCUACCACAUUUUCACCUUUGUCACCUUUAACAAUGAUGUUACUAGUACCACCCUGCUCUCUUCAUCUAACAAAUGUAGUCAACACAAUCGAUCUGGGAACCUUAUCCUCAUUGACCAUGCCGCGCUCCAUAUAUGUUAAUAAAAUUAAUAUUUAACAGCUAAAAACAAUCAUACAUAGAAAAAAAAAAACCCAAAGAAAAAUCAUAUUUCUAGAACAAGCUUUCCAAAAUAGUUUUUUAGAAUAGUCUUUUCAGAAUAUGUUUCUAAAAUUUCCAGAAAGUCUAUUUCGAACAACUAUUCAGAAAAUAUGUUUUAGAAACAUAUUUUGGAAACCUAAUUUCAGAAGUAAUCACAUUAUGCACACCUCCCCCUUUUCUCGAAUCCAAAGUCUAUUUUUUUUUUUGGAUUACCCUUUCCAAAAAGAAAAAAUACGCGAACCUGUAGUUUUUUAAUGACGAUUUACGUACCAUAGCGGUGUCAAUAACCAUUGGAGACAAGACAGAAACGAAUGUGAAUCACCAACCAAAUGCAAGUACUAUAAUUGCAACAAAUUGAACGAACCACAGAUCAGAACAGUGCAAUAAAGAUAGGGGAAUGUGUACUUUUUAAUUAUAAACCCCGACAUUGAUGUCAUUUUUUAAGGUGAUGGGGUGAAGGUUCAAAAAUUGAAGGGUGUAGGAAGCAAAAGCCAUUAAAUGGUAUCAAUAAUUCUACAUCAUGAAUUCAAAAGCCAUAAUCUUUACUUCCAUGACUUUUAUCCAUUCUAGAACUUGUAUAACUUCUUUAUAGGAUUGUGGCUUGGUUCGAGAUAAAGGAGGGAGAGUGUAUCUAAGUUGUUUAUUGAAUAAUAUUCUAUAUGAUAAAACUAGGUUAAAAGAAUAACAUACCUUAUUGGAAUUCUGUAAGUUCUCUUCUCAAAGUGAUAUUAUAUGUUGAUAAUGAUAGUCUUCUACGAAAGAUAGAGAUUUGUGUAUCCUAUAAGACCUUCUUAAGUUCUCGGUCUCAAUGUGUUCAUUAUUUUCAGUGUUACUAUCUUAUGUAAUAACAUGAUUUUCAUCAUGUGUGUAAUCAUAUAUGUGUUCAAAGUAAUUCUCACGAUGUCCUGUAUCAGUCUAAAUGGUUGUAUCAACAAUUAGACAAAAGCCAUACUUAAGAAAAAUGACAUUUCAAGAUACAAAAAUUUCUAGUAUUUGUAUCAAUAACAACAUAUCUUUUAGUUCCAGCUAUAAAACCGAGAUAUAUACAACGUUGAGAUCAAGCUUAUUUAUGUUAUUUUCAAAGGUUAAAACAAACCAUAAUCAUCCAAAAUUUCUUAAUUUGUAGAGGUCAGGAACACAUUCAAAAAACAUUAUGAAAGGACUCUUAUUAUGAAUAACAAGUAGGGGGUGCAGGAAGAAAAAUAUAGGGGUGCAGGAAGAAACUGCCAUAAUACAAUACGUAGAAAAAGAAGAAAACAAAACACUACUUAUAUUAUCUGCAUGCAUAUGUUCAGUAUAUAUAAACUUAUAUAGACGAAGGGACUGUUUCUUCCUGCACCUCCAUACCUUCUUCUCUCACCUUCAUAAGUUUUGAAAUUUCCAAAAAUGCCCCUUUAUAAUAUUCCGAAUUACGUAAUUCGGAAGUCAUUUUUCAAAUUUGUAAUUAGCUACCGGAUUACGUAAUCCAGAAACCAUUUUUCAGAUGCAUGAUUAUUCUUUGGAUUACAUAAUCUGGAAGUCUUAACUUCCAGAUUAUGUAAUCCGAAAGUCUUUUUUUAAAUGAGUUUCCAAAUUACAUAAUCCGGAAACUACUCUAUGGGGGUGACACAAGAAGGACAAAAAUGUAUUUUCAUGUUGUGUAUGGAGGUGGCAGAAGAAGAUAUGGAGGUACAGGAAGAAACAGACGAAGGAUGAGAGGAAAGCCCAAAUAUAGUGGACUGGCAAAAAAAAAAACUCAAGGCAUUAAUUAUGUAUUCUUUUUGUAGUUUAUGUUUGGUUGUUUCUUGCAUACCCAUAGUUUCUCUAGGCUUUGGUUAGGCGAAAAGACCAUGUUGUCCUUAAAAAAUUACUUCUGGAUUUUGCAAAAUGAAAAUGUUAUCUUUUCUAUUAACACCUCAUGGAUUCCACAAUCCAUUCUAGAUUACAAAAUCUAGAAGGUAAUCCCGGAUUCAGCAAUAGUUUCCGAAUUGUACAAUUUGCAGCAUCCUUUUACUAUAAUAUGUAUUUCUUUGGAUUAUAUAAUAUGAAAAGUAUACAAUUCAAAAUGUCUUUUAGAUUAUACAAUCCAGAAGAUAUUUCUAGAAUGAAAAUUAUCUUCCAGAUAGUACAACCCGAAAUACAUAUUAUAGUAAGGGGGUGUUACGAAUUUUACAAUACAGUAUACACAAAAAAAAUUGAAAAAAAAAGAAAGAGAAAAAUCCUAACAUAUACUCAUAAGAGUAGGGUUUGAAUUAAAAAAAAUAUGAAGGUGUAGGGGGAAGAUAUGGAAGUAUACGGAGAAUUUACCAAACAUGAAGGUCCAUGUUAUCAAUUGCUUGUUUUAAUUGUGGGAUAAAAAUAAGAAAAUUCCCCCUACACCUCAACGGGUUCUUCUUGCACCUCCAUAUAAUUUUUAAUUAUCAAAUCUACAAUUGGCAGUAUAUGUUAUGGUUUUAGUUGAGUUGAUGAGUUGUUCUUCAUUUUGAAGGUUUUCAUUAAUUGCGGUGAGUGUUUGUGGGUGAUUCUUGAGGGUUGUGGUUGGAGGUGGUUGUUGGAGACGGUGAAGGUUAGUUGGUGAGUUAAGUUGUGCGUUUCUUUAUAUGGUUUCUGAUAUGGUGAUGGAGCAGGGAAAGGGAAGAACAUAGAAAAAACUAGAAAAAUAAGUGUUGGGAUAGAGAUAUAUCCGAAUAAAAAAACAACUUUUUAGGAUAAAAGUAACAUAACCAACAACAUGCCUACUCUCCUAGUCUAGUGGGGUAUAUAAUACCCUUUGAAAAACUAUUUGUCCUAAUAGACAGCUGUGCUGAAAAUACUGAAAAGCUAUAACAGAAAAUCCUAACAGAAAAGGGGAUCCAAUCCCUACAAAAGACAAAAGAGAUCCUUCUAGAUAUAAUCCUUUAACCAAAUGGGCCUAGAUAUCCUUCUAAUGGGCCUUGUGCUUGUGAGUCCCGUAUCAAUAGUUGGCCCCUGCAAAGCAACCUUUUCCUCAAGGUUUUGGAUGGAUGAACUUGGCAGAGGAGUUGUGGUGGAUGACACGGUGGUAUAGGAACUAGGGGUGCGGGAGGUAAAACGGGGUGGUCUGGUUAUUGUAAAAUGUUGGACUAUUUGAUGUGGGUGGUGGUUGGUGGGCCAAGGUAAUUUUUGUGGUGUGGGGGUGGAUGUGAGAGUGAGAAUAAAUUGGGAAAGUGUGGUGCGGGCUUUUGGGCCACGUUGGGGUGUGGUGUUGGCAAAGGGGGUUGAGAGUGGGUUGUAAAUUGGCAUGGGAAACCCAAAGGGCAAGGUUUGGAAAGAGAUUGGUUUUGUAACGUUGGAAUUUGGUGUGUGUCAACUACUUGUAUUGAAUGCGACACAGAGUCACGUGAAGGUGUUGUAGGGAGUCGGUGAUGUGACACAAUAUGGGUCAUUGAUGGAAAUGAAGUGGUGUGGGUAGAUGGUUAGGUGCAUUUACUUGUGGAAGUAGAUGGGUAGGUGAAGGUAGGUGUGAGAGUAAAUGGGCACGUGAAGCAGAGGUUAGUGGUUGGUGAAGGGGUUUAAUGAGGGCUGCUGAUAGAGGACACGUGGCGUGUGUGGAUGGCAUCAGAGCUGUGUUACGUGAGUUUGAAGUCUCACUUAGGGUUUCACUUAGGUUUAUGUUGGGAGGGUGCAAAAGGUACGGGUUUAUUUCCUGGUUGGGAGGGUGGUGGGGUAGAGGGGGUUUUGGUCCAUGAUAUGGUUUGAGGAGAGAUAUGUGAAAUACUGGAUGAACUUUGGAAUCUGGUGGGAGAGCUAGUUCAUAAGUCACUUCACCAAUGCGUUUGGAAAUAGGGUAUGGGCCAUAGAAUUUUCGGGAAAGCUUGUGGUGAGGGGAGCCGGUGAGGGAUGUUUGGUGGUAAGUCUGUCGUCAGAGGAGUACCCAGUCGUAAGGAGCAAACAGGGGGAAGCCAAAGACAAAAAAGAAGCGAAUGGAAGAUGUUGCAUUGAAGUGAUUAAUUCGGUGACAAGUGCUACAAUCGUGCCACUGCAAGCUGGGUAGAAGGAAUGUCAAUGAGGUGGUAGAGAUAACGAAUAUUUUGGUGUAUUUUGAUGGUUUUGUAGCUGCAGUUUGCAGUGCUUAUAGCAUUUCAAUACGAGCACGGUGCUAGUUGGAAUAAGAUGUCUAGGUUAUGCACUUCUGGGGUGUUUGGUCAUCUCUUUAUUCUUGGAGAUUCUUAAUGUGGUUUGGUUUAUGUAAAAGGGUUGGAUACCCUUUUUGUAUCCCUCUUAAUUUAAUGUCAUUCUUUGCUGAUAAAACAAAAUGAAAAAUAAUAUAAAAACUUAAAUCAUCCACUAAACGCAAAAUGACGACUUUUAUCUCAAGUUAUUCAAAGAUUAAAACUGCUACUAUAGCAUUAGAGUGCACAAUCUCAGCAUCACCAAGGGUUUCAAUUUCUCAGUCUGAAAUUCAUGGGACAGGCAAAGGAAUAUAAGGAAAAGGAACCAAGAACAGAUCAUGCUUUCUUCUAACUGUGAUUCCAAACUCUUCACUCAUGUCCAAUUCUUCACUUAUCAUUCCACUUGGAAGCUUCCAAUCAAAGUGAUAUAACAACAUUGCAAGGGUCACUUCGACAACUCUGGAUGCAAAUAUGCUUCCAGGGCAUAUCCUUCUUCCAGCUCCAAAAGGAAUGUACUCAAAAUUAUUCCCUUUGUAGUCAAUAGUGCUGUCAAUGAAUCUCUCGGGAUAAAACCUCUCUGGUUCAGUCCAAUAGUUUGAAUCUCUUCCAAUUGCCCAAACAUUGACUAUGACCUUGCUUUUGGCUGGUAUGUUAUAGCCAUGUAUCUCACACGUUUUACCACAUUCUCUUGGAAGCAAAAGAGGAAGUGGAGGGUGUAAUCUCAAGGUCUCUUUCACAACUAGUUUCAAAUAUUUGAGUUCAUUGAUGCAAUUUUCAUCAACCCUUCCUUUCAUGUUGAAUACCUCUCUAACCUCAGCUUGUGCUUUUUUCAUUACUCUUGAAUCAUUCAUUAUUUCAGCCAUCGCCCAAUCUAUGGUUGUUGCUGAUGUCUCCCCUCCAGCACCAAAAAUGUCCUUAAAAAUAUCAAUAAAAAAGGUUACAAGUAAAGAAACAAAGAGACUGCAUGCUUCUAGAGUUAUUAGGCAAAUGUUUCACUACUUCAAAGAUCUAGUGAAAAAUAAGAUAUAGAGGGAAAAAGUGUUAGAUAUUUAUUACCAUUUUGAUUUCCUACUCUCUUUUUGGUUUAAAAAUUGUUUUCCAACAUGCUAUUCAAUAAUCAGUUUCUCCCCCUGAACGUGUUAUGUUUUCAAAAUUGCUUCCAAAAAAGAGGGUUUUAAAAACAUAAAACAGAAACAUCUAGGAGAUGUUUUCUCAUUAAGUUCUCCUGUUUUGGGAUCCUAGCUCAUAAGAGCGAGUCCUCUGCAGAGGUACUGUUUGUGUUGAGGUAUGAACUUGGUGUGAGUGUCUAGUUUCUUCAUAUUUUUAAAACUAAAAGCAUUUUUGAAAAUAGAACUCAAACUCAUCCUUAUUAACUAAUUCAUUCCACUUUCAUAUCAGGUAUGAUAAAGAUUAAUUCAUGAUCAUAAAAUGUAUUUGCAAGAGGUUAUGAUCCAUACCAGAAUUAUAGCCUUGAUGUUUGUCCUUGUUAAAGAAAAAUCCUGCUUGCUACCAUCCUCAUAUUGUAUGAGAACAUCCACAAGAUCUUCUGGUUCCCUUUCGUGAUCUUUGGCCUUUGACUUUGCCUCUUUAUGUUCAUUGAUGAUGUUUUCCAUUAUGUGAUCGGUUUGUUGAUGUAACCUCUCAAGCUCGGGCCUCAUGCCAGUGACAUGUUGCAGCCAAGUAGCAGAAGGAAACAAAUCUCCAAUGUCAAAACCUCCUGCAACUUUCAUUGAUUUUUUAACCACUGUUAUGAAGUUUUCUUGGUCUUUAUAUUUUUUGCCAAAGGCAGACCUUGAAAUAAUUGUAUAAAUAGAUGAAAGUAGAGCUUGAGUGAGAUUGAUGGGGGAUCCUUUCUCCGAAUCAAUCCAUUUGACAAGAUUGGAGAGCUCGUCUUCUCUAAUUGGUUGGAAUGAGUUGACACGUUUUAGGCUUAAAAGCUCCAGUGUGCAAAUUUUUCUUAGCUGCCUCCAAUAGUAUCCAUAAGGAGAGAAAGCUAUAUCUGUGCAAUUGUAACUGAAUACAUCCACAGUUGGGAGUUUAGGCCGUGUGGCAAAGUUAAUAUCAUGGGUUUUCAUCACUUCCUUAGCACACUCAGGGGUUGAAAUGACAAUAGUAGAAACCUCUCCAAGUUGAAGAUGCAUCAAGGGUCCAUAUUUUAAGGCCAGGUCUCUUAGUUUUCUAUGUGGCUGAGAGGAUAGCAGAUUGUGUAUAUUUCCUAUAAUAGGUAGCUUUGUUGGGCCAGGAGGUAUUUUAGAAGUUGUUUCAUCUCUUUUCCUGGGUUUGUUUCCAAUUUUUUGUACUAUAAGGGUUAAGAAGAUAAAGAAGAGAAGAGCUGAAAAAUAGAGAACUAGUUGAGCCAUGGAGAAGAAGCAGAUUUCUAAUGUGAGUAUGAUGCUAGUAGUGUCUGUUUAUAUUUACACAUUACUCAGCAUUCUUAACUACGUCAUCAUCUUGGUUUGUCCUCUGGAAGUGCCUGCUGUUUUAAAUUUCACAAAGAAAGCAUUUAACCUUAGUUUGGCACAAAUGGAGUUGGUUUCGUUUAGUUCAAUGAAGUCAAUAGCUUUGAACCGAAGAUGUCCUUUUCAUGAAUAAUUAAUUGGAAUCAGUUAAUUUAAUUGACUUUUAUCCAUCCAAGGACACAAAAUACCUGUUGGGAACUAACAGACUAAAUCACUUCGCCUAAGGACUCAAAAUAGACAUAAGAAAAAAUAUGAAAAGAUGCAGAAACAUUACCAACACUUUAAAGAUAGAAACCUUUUUUUUUUUUACAUUUGUCUGGAUAAUUUUUUCUGUAAACAUUUUUAUGAAAAAAAUGAAAUAAAUUUCUUUAAAAGAUAAAACUACCUUGUAAAUAAAUUAAAAUUCUAAUUUUGAAAAAAUAUUCAACGAGAUAACUUGUACAAGUUAAAUCAUAGAUAAUAAAAAAAUCAUUGAAAGCAUAGUUGUAACGUGAAAAGAAAAAAAAUAUCAGAAUCUAAUUUGGCAAAAUAUCAGCGCUACUAAAAAUAGACUAUAUUUAAGGCUGAGAAUAGACUAUAUUCUGGUUCAAACAUUUGGUUACAUUUUUUCUCUACUGCCAAACUUCUUAUAGUUGAAGUUAAAGAAAACAAUUUUUCUUAUAGUUGAAGUUAAAGAAAACAAUUUUUUUUCUAACAUAGCACUGUUUGUGCUUUUAUUUCCCCCAUAUAUGGUUUUGCAUACAAAUUCAUUGAAUUAGUUGAGUUGAAGUUUUAUAAUCAUAGUUUACAGUUAUGUAACAAACAUAAGAGUUUAGAUAGUUAUAACUUUAAAAGAAUACAAAAAUAAUGAAAGAGAUAAUCAUAACUAAUAAUUAUAUUAUGUCUAAAAAUUCUAAUAAGAAUAACAUUAAAUCAAAACAUCACAAAUUUCAAGUUCAAAAUUUAAAAUAACAACAAAACACAAAAGAAAUUGUCUGAUGUUUCUAAUCAUCUGACUCUCCUUCAAUCCUAACACAAUUGUCUUCAAUAUUAUCUAAUGGGGCAUAUCACCCAUCCUCUUUCCCUUCAAAGAAACUCUUAUCAAAGUUAAAUAAUUUUUCAAAUUUAGAAUCAGAGCUAUCAUGUAAUUCAUUCUCAACCCCAGUUUGAAUCUUCUCUUUACCCUUCCUUGUUAGGAUGAAGUUUCAGUUGGACCUUUCUUAGAAGUAUGGGAAGAUCCAAUGACAAUACCACCACCACUUGAUGGUAGUUUUAUUUUACUAGGUGCUUGUCUCCUUAUGUAAUUUAUUGGUUCUCCAAUACGUGAAUCAUCAUAAACAACUGUCAAUUAAGAGUGAGAUCUUCAUAAAAAAAAACAACUCAUUUUCCCCUCUUUAGUAUCAUUAUCAUCAUCAAUUUGUCCCAUUAACCACUCAUUACUCAUCAUGUCAUUGAGUACAAUAGGGUUCAUUUCAUUCCUAGUAUUGUAUCUUUGAGCAAGUUGUUGGUUAUACUACGUAAACCAAAUCAUGCAACAUUUUGUCUUCCAUCUUAUUCUUUUUUUUAAUAAAUUUGCAAGUAUAAUGUGAAUAAAUUUCUUUCUACAUUCUACAAGAUAAUAAUGAAAUGAGUUAUGUCAUGAAAAAUAAUUAUUACUUGCUCAAAUACCUUCAACUACACUCCCAUCUCAAUGAACUACAUGUCAAACUUAAAAUCUUGAUUGUUAACUUUUUACAAGUUGGGAACUACGUACCCAUAAUUCAUCCACCAUUCAACUAUAAAGAAAAAAAAAAGUAACUUAUGAUGUUAUCCGGAUAAAGAUUGUCGGUAAGUCUUUUAAAACUUCCUCUAUCACCUUUAUAAUUUAAAUUUAAUGACUUCGGACUAGUGAAAUUUGAUGAUUUACAGAAUUUUUUUAAAAAUAUCUAAUUUAAAUGUAUCCAUAAUAUAAACAUUUUUUAUUCUUAACGUUGCAUUUCAUUCUAACCCUUAUCAAUUUUAUAUUAAUAAUAAAUAGUAGAAUUGUGCACAACUCUGACGUGACAGUAGGUUCUCUUUUCAUCCAAUUCUUUCUCCACUACAGUGCUAAGGAAGUUUUGUUCUUUCAAGCAUUUAACAAGGGUAAUAAACUUUUUCUUAUUUCUAUCAUUUCAAAGUUUUCAUUUCAGAUUCUCAAUAUCUUUAGUUCAUCAACAAAUAACAAAAGGGUCUUGAUUUCAGGGAGUCUUUUUCUUCAAAUUUUCCUCUGGUCUGCUUCUUUCUUUUCUUGGUUUUCAUGGGGUGGUUUCUUUCUUUCUUGUUUUCCCUAAAGUUUUGCUUUUUCUUCAUUUAGUUUAUGAGUUUUAUAUUCUUGUUUUACUGUUUUGUGCUUUGCAUGUUUAUGUGGAGGGAAAGUUUGUUCUUUCAAGUGUUCUAUUGAAGUUUUUGUUUAUGUGACUUGUUGUGGUACCACUGAUAGAUAUCUGUAACACAAAGUCUCCUUUUGAAAGUCCUAUAGCAAAAGACAUGGAGAUUGCUCCGUAGCACUUUGCCCCAUUUUUCUUUAGUUUUGUACCUUUGAACCCAGUGGUACCUUUGUUUAUGAAGGUCAAGGAGGAAAUCCUAAUGUUAGGAGAAAUAUUUCACUUCGUGAUAAACAAAUUGGAACGAUGAAAUUUGGUGCUGAAAAAUAGCAUGCAAGCUAUAAGUCCCAUGUGGGUUAUAUUGAAAGUGAUGGAAAGUUUGAUGGUGCAUUCAGUUACAAUAGCAGCAAUUCUCAUUACGCAUAUGUUUAUGAUAGUGUGUAUUUGGUGGAUACAAUGAAAAUAGAAAGAGGGAGAUAUGGAAUGCUUGUGUUCAAUUUUGCACUAAAUAGAAUUUUAGGACAACUCCAAACUUGUUUUGCCCUUAAGGAUCAUGGCGAAAAUUCAAGAUUUACUCCUAGGAAGAAACACAACAAACCGAAAGGUUGUGUUGUCGAAAAGGAGGUUGUUCGUGUUAAAGAUCUUUCAGAUGGUCGGAAGAGGUUUAGUAUUAGGGUGGUGACUUCAAGUGAUCGUGUCCAGCUACCCACAUCCUUUAUUUAUGUCGUAAAUAACGUUCACUCAAUGAAGUUCAAGCAGGAAAUUCUUUGUGGCUGUGAAAAAUGGUAGCAAAGGUUGACGUACAAAAAUUGUCUUUCAUUCCCUUCUGGAAGCUUUCUAUGUGAGUAUAUUGGAGAAGUCAGUGCCUAUGGAUAAUGACUAUAUAUUUCACAUGGGUAUGUUCAUGGAUAUUUUCUUUUGUUGUGUUUGGACUUUAUUUAACAGUUUCAGUCUUCUUUUGUAGGUGUUAGAAAGGUCUUCACUUAUGCAAGUAAAUGUGGAAAUGGAGGAAGAUUUACUAAUCAUAGUUGUUCUUCAAAUCUUCGUGUCAAAGAUGUUAUGUAUGAUGACAAUGACAAGAAUCUUCCUCAAAAUGUUGCUUGGUGUAAAGGAUAUUCUUGCUGGAAGAGAACAGACUUAUGAUUAUAAUUCCUUCAAUGGAAACUUGAUCAGGUGUUUUAUUGCAUUGUUGAAUAUAGUACAUAUACUCACAUCAUUGUUUGAUAUGUAUAAGGUCGUUCUGAGUAUGUCAAGGAUGCAAGUAUAUCUAAUGAAGUGUCAAUUAUAAACAUACUAAGGGAACAUAGAAAUAAACAUACUAAGGAAACUUAGAAAUAAGAAUUCUGGUUGAUGAUUUUAUAUAUAAAGUUGUCAUUGACUUUUGUAUAGUAAUAAUUAUGUUCAAUUAUCUCUUGACACUUACACAUCAUCUUGUAUGGUAUGGUUGAUGAUUUCUGCUCUAUCGGCAGAAGUUUUUUCUAUUAUUCUUGGUCUUGAAAGAGCCAGAUGAUAAAUUGGAUUAGAAAAUCUUGUGGCUCGUAAAGUGUCUUGCUAGCUUUUAGAUUCUCCAUAUCUCACUUCUUUCUAAUAGAUUAUGUUUUGUAGAGAUAAGAAUCAUCUCCUUUACUUUGGAUUCUCCUGGUUUUGGGGUUUUUCUUUUUUAUCAUGAGUUUUAGCUUAGUCCACUCAUGAUUUGUAUUUCUGUAUUCUUAAUGUGGCUUUGCAUGUCAACCCUGUUUAAAAAAAUCAUAUGGGCCACGGUAAAAAAAUGUUUGUAAGGUCAAAAGGCCCAAAUAAAAAAAAUUGGUAGGGCUAAAACGCCCACAAAAGCCCCAUGGGUGAGGGCCAACCCAUGAUCAUUUUUUUAAAAGUGAGUGUAUAGUUAAAUAUAUGAUCAAUCCAAAUCCAAAAAAAUAUGGAGUGUAGGAGAAGGUAUGGAGGUUUAGGGAGAAUUCACCAAACAUGAAGGUUCAUGUUAUCAAUUGCUUGCUUUAAUUGUGGGAUAAGCGUACACAAAUUCUCCUUGCACCUCGACAAGUUCUUCCUGUACCUCCAUAUAAUUUUUAAAUACCAAAUCUAUCCUUGGCAAUAUAUGUUAGGGUUUUGGUUGAGUUUGUGAGUUGUUCUUCAUUUUGAGGGUUCUCAUUCAUUGCAGUGGAGUUUGUGGGUGGUUCUUGGGGGUUGUGGUUGGAGGUGGCUGUUGAAGGAGGUGAACGUUAGUUGCAGAGGUGAGUUGUGCAUUUCUUUUCAUGGCUUUCGUUCGCAUUUUUAAUUUUCGUUUUCUUCUUGUAUAUUGGAUUGCAAAAGUCAUAAGUCAUAACACCUCCAAUUAUCUGCUGAAUUGUGCAAUCUGGUAUACAAUGUUGGAUCCGGUUGGUGCUUCCGAAUUGAACAAUCUGGUAUUCAUUUGCUAAUAACAUACCAAAUUGUUCAAUUCAAUUUGUAUACCUUGAGUCCAGUAAUACAUAUACAAUCUGAUAUGUUAUUGAAAAAUGAAUACCAAAUUGUACAAUUGGAUAUGUAUACCAUCCACAUUCAUACUGAAUUAUACAUUACUGUUUAAACAAAAUAAAGUUAAGCUACCACCAGAAUAGAAAAAAAAAUGAACUUACAUUCACUGUAGUGCUUCCUUCAACCUGUGUCAAACCUCGCCCUCCAUCAAAUUGACUUGAAAAAUGAAAGCUCUUGGACAACAAUGGAGGAGGUGUGACAUCUGUGAAGAAAUAAAGGGUGCGCCGGUUCACAACAAUAGCAAAUAAAAGGGUGCAGUGUGAGGUUAAGAGAAAAGUAAAGUUUUUAAAAUUUUAAAUAAAGGCAAAAUUGGAAUAUCACAUAGAUGAAUAAUGGAGCUGCAUGAGCACCCAUUGAGGUGCAGGGAGAAUUUGCCCAAAAAUAACAGCAGUAACUUGUAUUUUUAUAUACUGCAAUUCAUGUUUAAACACACUUAAAUAACAGAAUAAAAGAUCAUGCUUCUUGACUUUAUGAACUCCUACUGAUCAUGAAAAGUAAUAUAAAAACUUAAAUCAUCCACUACACACAAAAUGACGGACUUUUUUCUCAAGUUAUUCAAAGAUUAAAACUGCUAUGAUAGCAUAAGAGUGCACGACCUCAAUAUCACCAAAGGUUUCAAGUUCUCAGUCUGAAAUUCAUGGGACAGGCAGAGGAAGAUAAGGAAAAGGAACCAAGAACAGAUCAUGCUUUCUUCUAACUGCGAUUCCAAACUCUUCACUCAUGUCCAAUUCUUCACUUAUCAUUCCACUUGGAAGCUUCCAAUCAAAGUGAUAUAACAACAUUGCAAGGGUCACUUCGACAACUCUGGAUGAAAAUGUGCUUCCAGGGCAUAUCCUUCUUCCAGCUCCGAAAGGAAUGAACUCAAAAUUAUUCCCUUUGUAGUCAACAGUGCUGUCGAUGAACCUCUCGGAUAAAACUUCUCUGGUUCAGUCCAAUAGUUUGAAUCUCUUCCAAUUGCCCAAGCAUUGACUAUGACCUUGCUUUUGGCUGGUAUGUUAUAGCCAUGUAUCUCACAUGUUUGACCACAUUCUCUUGGAAGCAAAAGAGGAAGUGGAGGGUGUAAUCUCAAGGUCUCUUUCACAACUAGUUUCAAAUAUUUGAGUUCGUUGAUGCAAUUUUCAUCAACCCUUCGUUUCAUGUUGAAUACCUCUCUAACCUCAGCUUGUGCUUUUCUCAUUAUUCUUGAAUCCUUUAUUAUUUCA